This 420-nucleotide ribosomal RNA is filed under the name uncultured Acetivibrio sp. RNAcentral's name for it is "bacterial SSU rRNA". It matches the Rfam family "Bacterial small subunit ribosomal RNA", at positions 355 to 794 of the family's 1533-position model. The record is from RNAcentral. Lineage: Bacteria; Bacillati; Bacillota; Clostridia; Acetivibrionales; Acetivibrionaceae.
UCGGGAAUAUUGCACAAUGGAGGAAACUCUGAUGCAGUGACGCCGCGUAUAGGAAGAAGGUUUUCGGAUUGUAAACUAUUGUCGUUAGGGAAGAAAAAGACAGUACCUAAGGAGGAAGCUCCGGCUAACUACGUGCCAGCAGCCGCGGUAAUACGUAGGGAGCAAGCGUUAUCCGGAUUUAUUGGGUGUAAAGGGUGCGUAGACGGGAAUUUAAGUUAGUUGUGAAAUCCCUCGGCUUAACUGAGGAACUGCAACUAAACUAAUUUCUUGAGUGUCGGAGAGGAAAGUGGAAUUCCUAGUGUAGCGGUGAAAUGCGUAGAUAUUAGGAGGAACACCGGUGGCGAAGGCGACUUUCUGGACGAUAACUGACGUUGAGGCACGAAAGUGUGGGGAGCAAACAGGAUUAGAUACCCUGGUAGU